UACAGAGGUCCCAAGCGUUGUUCGGAUUCACUGGGCGUAAAGGGUGCGUAGGUGGUGAGGUAAGUUUGAUGUGAAAGCUCCGGGCUUAACCCGGAAAAUGCAUUGAAUACUACUUUGCUAGAGGGUUGGAGGGGAGACUGGAAUUCUCGGUGUAGCAGUGAAAUGCGUAGAGAUGUGGAGGAACACCGAUGGCGAAGGCAGCCUCCUGGUCCAGCACUGACGCUCAUGCACGAAAGCGUGGGGAGCAAACAGG
This 253-nucleotide ribosomal RNA is filed under the name uncultured prokaryote. Its description in RNAcentral is "partial 16S ribosomal RNA". It matches the Rfam family "Bacterial small subunit ribosomal RNA", at positions 524 to 776 of the family's 1533-position model. The record is from RNAcentral.